Ostrinia furnacalis (Asian corn borer) is the source of this 498-nucleotide long non-coding RNA. RefSeq lists it as uncharacterized. The record is from RefSeq and is a predicted model, not a curated record. NCBI's taxonomy places the organism in Eukaryota, Metazoa, Arthropoda, Insecta, Lepidoptera, Crambidae. The transcript is spliced from 2 exons.
UCAGGCCGUGUCCGGGGGACGGAUAGGGGAGAACCGGCCCGGUACAUGUCUGUACCGUCCGAAAUGGAAAGCAGGGCCUCGUACUCGCCGGCGAGUACGGUGUAACGAGCUACUGUGUUGUGGAGUAGUUGGCGUGCUUAAGGCAGUGAUGUCUGUGUUCAGAAAUUCGGUAAUAGGAUCGUCCGGGUCGUCUAGGACAUGCCUAGGUCGUCGGUAUUGGGCAGCGACAUCUUUCUGGGGUGUAUACGUGGCGGCGCUAACGAUAAGAGGGUUCUUGUGGUUGAUCGCUUUAUCAAAGUAGCGGCGAGAGGCUUCUUUCAUAAAGUGAUCAAUCGAUGGGAUCUCGAAAUCUCUAUGGAGAUUCGUGUUACGCACGAACCACGGGGCAUCCGCGGCUCGGCGUAAGAAUUUGUUUUGGAGGGUCUGGAAUUUCUUAAGGUCUGUGCAGGAAGUGUGAGCAAACACCGGACUGGCGUAAGUCAACACUGGACGGAUGCA